UUAAUUUACAUGUUACGGAAAGUAACCCCAAAUAGAACAUCAAAAUACAUACAAUGGCCAAGUUUUUUAUAUUAAUACUGUCAAUGUAUUUGAUUACUAAAUUUGGUGUAAGCUUGAAAUGCUACGAGUGCGUCGGCUCCCAAUCGAGCGAUUGUGCGCGUGGCACCACUUCCGCCGCGGUGGCGGUGAAUUGCACUCCCCAAAUAUUGCGUGCGAUAUCACGCACUUAUCUGCGAACUGAUAGUACCGCGGCCGCUUCCACAAAUGGAUUUCGCCCAUUAGAGGAGCAAGAGCCUUUCGUACCGUAUCCAGCCUGCGUAACGUUUACCAAAGUUCCAUAUCACGGGCGGGACGUCAUGGUGCAUCGGAAAUGUCUGGUUUCUGGUGAAAACUUUUGCAAGGAAUAUUUACAAAGACACGCCAAAGACAAAUGCCAACAAUGUAAUCAUACUGAUUUUUGUCUAUAGUUAUUUUAUGAAUAAUUAACGAAAUAUAUUGAUACAAAUGCAA
Long non-coding RNA from Dalotia coriaria, 510 nucleotides. RefSeq lists it as uncharacterized. NCBI's taxonomy places the organism in Eukaryota, Metazoa, Arthropoda, Insecta, Coleoptera, Staphylinidae. The transcript has 3 exons. The record is from RefSeq and is a predicted model, not a curated record.